UUGGAAACUACAUGACUACCAUGCACGAUUUAGUAAGCAAUGUCACUUUUGAUGCAUCAACUUGUAUGUAUCGGUAUUAGGCCCAUUAUUUUCUUCCUCCUAUUACUAGGCUCAUCACAAUCUUGAAAAUUCCAGUGGCAGCUCAAUGGGGCUGCAUCAAAAGUUGUGGAAGCAAUGGAGAGGCACAGAAAAAGAGAGAGGAUUAGGAAAGAGAAAAAUGAGGGGCUACAUGGGAACGGAUGGACUACAUCGAAAAGGAGGUUGAUUUUUGAAAAACUUGUAGUGAAAAAAAUGAUGCUUAGGAAAAGAGGGGAUGCCAACUUUCUAAGGGGUUUCGACAUGGGGAAAUGAUGGGAUUUUUCGGGAAAAACAGAGCAUGGGGGGCUAUUUUGAAGAAAGGAAGUAUUUAGAUUGAAGAGGUGUGAGAGAAGGGUCCGAAAAAGGCAUUCAGGAAGGAAGAAGUUGCAGAAAACUAGCUUGGAAGAAAAACAGAGAGCUAGGUGAGGGGAUUUUGAGAGCAAAAAUAGAGAAAUAGAGGUUGAGAGCAAAAAAUAGAGCAAGGAUUGGGGGUGGGGGGGCGGUGGUGGUUAGUUUCCUGAGAUUCAAGGUUGUGGGGAAUUUUUUUGAGAGCUUGAAAGGAAAGAGAACGGGAGCAAAGGGCAGAGAAAAGAAGUUGCAUGGGGUAAAUCACAAGUAACAAAGAGAGGAAGUUUACCGGUCUUUGGGAGAUUGGAUGAGCACUUUCAGGUACCUUUUCCAUGCAUAUUUCUUAUUCAUUUUCUUCAUCACUUUGUUCUUCAUUCUCUUUGGUUGAUUCUGAUCAUUGUUUGAUUUGUUUGGAAUAAAUAUGAUGUUGCACUACUUUUCUCUCGUGUUUUGAUCUAAAAUGGCUCACUCUUCAGUAGGAGUUUUUUGGUGACUUUACCUUAAUAUUUACUUUGAACUUUCAUGUUGAACCACUGGUCAUGGAACCCAUUAAUUUCAGCAUGAAAUGGGUUUCCAUUUAAUGGGUUGUUUCGAUUAUCUUUCUUGAUCUUAGUUAUACUCUAUUCUAAGUUGUUCAUUUAUCUGCAUCUGGUAUUUCUAUCUUCAUCUCUAUGUAUUAUCAAUCCAUGUGCAUGCUUCGAGUUCCUCUGUUUUUGCCUCAUGGGUAUUUUCUCCUAUGUUUUGGGUAUAGAUAAGGUACAAAGUUGCGGGUUUGUUAUGCUGAAAGCCAAACACCCUCAAAGCAAGGGUUUUCCAAUUUAACUAGACUGAUUACGGUAAAGGGGCACUUGACCUUGCUCAAAGUCUUGCUGAUUGUGAUGGGUUCACCAAUAUCUUUUUUUGGUUGACGAUGUUCUUGAGUCAUAGUUGGAAAAGUAGUUUCAACUUGACACGGAUAAGGGGACUUGACCGCCAUGAGAGCAGUGAAGAAGAAGAUUCGCUCAUUUUACCACUCACCCGGGCCCGCACAAAUGAAAAUCAAGCUAUGCAGUGACCAUCAUCUAAGCCAAAUCAGCCUAGUCCCAUUGCACCUUCAUCACAGCCAAUUCCCAUGCCAUACAUUGAGCAGAACAUAUCUCAUUUCUCUAGCUCACCACAGCCGUUCUAAUGCAUAUCAUAGUCACCUCCAUUAGACUAACCCAUUCUUCAUACCCGCUAAACACCACUCAAUCCCCUUAGCACCUUUCCAUCAUGCAUUCCUCACUCUUUACAUUCUCCAUAAAUUCAACAGCUCACCAGGAAAGUUUCCCAAAGACGCCAACAUUUCCACCCUCAUUCUCUCUCUAUCAUUUCAUAAAUGCUAACGCAUCACCCAUGCUCACUACACUUUCCGUAUAUCAUGAACCAUCAAAAGUCAAUCCAAGAUUAGAAGACCUAAAAUCCAUAUCCAAUGCUUAACCAUAGCACCCCGGGCCCCCUAUUUCUGCAUAGAAGUAUAUGGCCACCUUUGGGUGUGCCAUUUUCAAAGCCCAUAACUAGUAUGCAAAUGAUGAAGAGGACUUAUUCAAUGCGCCUCCCAGAAAAAAAAAGCUUGAUCAAUAUGUACCAGAUUCCUAAAUAUUCUCUCACCACUUAACUUCUCUACCACGGGCCCACGCACAUAUGUUUCCAAUUUGCAUGUCUACCUUCAACAUGCCUAGAUUCAUUGCACUUGCAUCAUCUAGAGUUGGCAAAACGCUACAGCCCGCUUAUAGUCACAUGCAACUCAGCUUCACUAUGAGCAUAUAGGACUAUGCUGAAAGUUUCAACAUGGAUUCCUUAUUCUGGUCUUGCCUAUUCACUGUCAUUUACAUUUCCCGAGCUCGUUUCAGUUUCAACUGAUGAGAAAGCUUCAUUAAUCGAUGUGGGGAAGAUUUUUAAAACUUGCAAGCCUCCCUUAGGAAAGAAUGUUUCCAAUGAUCAAUCUUAUUACAUGGAAGUCGAAUGAGCACUCAAAUGUUUGACCCAUGCAUGAAAGCUAUGUGAUUCCAGAUGAAGAUGUGCCACCAUCUAAAGUCCAAAACCUCAUCCCUUGCUUCCUGCCACCCUAUAAACUCUUGAGCUCCAUAUUUGCAUGGCCACUUUUGGGUGCGCCAUUUUCAUACCCACAAUUCCAUCUUCCCAUUCUCUCUCAUGCAUAUGCAGCCACCAAACCCAUUUUUCUCAUUAUUUCUUCCACUUAAACUUCUUCCCAUUCUCUCUCAUGCACAAGCAGCCCAUAUGCAGCCCAUGUGCAACCAAUACACAACCCACAUGCAACCCACAACCACCACACAUCCACCACAGCCACAUGCAGCUCAUAUGCAACAUAUGUGCAGCCCAUACACAUCCCACAUGCAGCCCAUAGCAACCACACGACCAUCACACGACCACCACGCAGCCCACAUGCAGCUCACAACUCCCCAAGCUACGUGUCAUCCUCUUAAUUCAUCUUUGGAGGUUAAAAAAAAUUAAUCUUUUAAAAAUUUAAUUUUUAAGCAAUCUCAUUCUCAAAUAAUUUUCAAUUUUUUUUUUUAAAAUUCCAUUCUCAAACAAAUUUUUUUUUUUAAUUUUUUUUCAAAAUUCCAAUUUUCAAAACUCCAAUUUUUAAAUUAUUUUCCAAAAUUCUAAUCUUCAAAUUUAUUUAUUUUUUAAUAAAUUCAAUUAUCAAAUAAAUUUUCAAAAUUCUAAUUUUCAAAACUCCCAUUUUCAAAUAAUUUUUCAAAAUUCAAAAUUUUAAAUUUAAAUUUCAAGAUUUCAGUUUUCAAAUAAAUUUCAAAAACUCUAGUUUUCUUUCAAAUAGUCUUAAUUUCACUCCAAUUGUCAAAUGUUUUUUUUUUUUUUUUUUUUAACUCUACAACUUUUCAUCCUUAAUUAGGGUUUUAGGUCAAAAAAUCUCAUUUUUAAUAAAUUUGCUACAUUUCCCUUUAGGUAAGCACUUUCACAAAUUUUCUUUGAUUUUCAAAUAAUCUUUUGUUUCUCUUGAUUUUAAAUAAGCAUGAAAGCAAUUUUCAUCAUUGCAAAUUAAUGGAAUUUGUGGGAUUAAUUCAUGCAAAAUGAAAUGGGCUUUGGUGGGGCCCCUAAAUAUGAGUUUUCUCUUUCGAUUGUCAACUAUUAUGCUUAAUGAAUAUUACUUGAUCUUUUUCUGGCUUUUUAAUAUGCAUGUGAUAUAUUUUGUAUUCAUUAUUAUGCACUAACUUUGUUUCAUGAUAGUGUUUUAUUACUUAUCUUUAAGGUACGCUCUCACUCUCACUUUGUUUAUUUAUUCAUUAUCAUGACUUGCUUUUGAUCUGUGAUCAUUUUGGUAUACAUUGAUCUCCUAGUUAAUUUUCAUGCUUGCUUCACUUUAUUUAGUAGAGACUCAUUUUUAGGGGUUUAGAGGGGUGAUAUGGUCUUUUACUGUACCUUCUCAAUAAGUAACCUGAUCCCCAGACCCGACUUUGGUUUUCCAUAGAUCGUCUUUUCCAUAUAAGGAGUCACACUUAGGGUUUUAUUUCUUAUUUUAUUUUCCCUUAAAAAUAAAACAAAAAUAAGUGACAACUCCAAGUCUUUUCUAAAAAUUAUAUUUUUCACAAAAUAAAUAAAAAGCGAGUCACGCCAUUGAGUGGGAAUGCAUCGAGCUAAAAUACGGGGUCCACAACAUGGAUGAUAUGCUUAUAGAUGGAAAUGAUUUGGAGUUUUUUCAAACCAUUUAAAGAUGGUUGUCAUCUUCUUUUGAGAUGAAAGAUAUGAGAGAAGCAUCUUAGAAUCUUGGAGUAAGGAUCCUUAGAGAUCGUUCUCACAUACUAGUGGCUCUUUCACAAGAGCACUAUAUUAAGAAUAUCCUUGAAUGAUUUAAUAUGCAAGAUUGCAAUCCCAUUGACACUUCAUUUGCAAGAGGUGAAAACUUAAGUAAAGAAAUGGGUCUAAAGACUCCAAAAUAAAAGAGAAAAAUAACUAAUGUUCCCUACUCUAGUGUUGUUGGGAGUCUAAUGUAUGUUAUGAUGUGUAUAAGACUAUAUAUAUAUUUGCUAUGUUUUUGGGAUGGUGAGUCGUUAGCAAGAAAAUCCUAGAAUGAUGCAUUGGAAAAAAGUAAAGAGAAUUCUUUGAUAUCUAAAAGGCACUGUGGACUAUUCCAUUUGUUAUCAAGGCAAAGAAUUGUGUUUAGUGGGUUAUUCACAUGCUGUUUGGGAAAGUGAUCUAGAUGAGCACAAAUGAAUAUUAAGAUACACAUUCUUGCUUAAUAAUGGUGCCAACUUAUGGAAAAGCAAGAAACAAUUUAACCAUGGAAGCUGAAUUUAUUGUUUGUUCAACUAUAAUAUAAGAAGUCGUAUGGUUGAAAAGUUUUUGCAAGUUUGGGAAUAGUCAAGGAUGUUUUUGAGCCAAUGACAGUCUUUAGUGACAAUCAAUUUGCAACAAUUUAUGUAAAAGAUCCAAAAUAUCAUGGAAGAACUAAACAUCUAGAUGUCAAUAAUAAUUUUUAAAGAGAUAUUAUUACAUGAAGAGGAAAUGAUCCUAAAUAUUUACUUACGUGUGAAAUGGUUGUUGAUCCAUUCAUGAAAUCCAUUCUAAAAAAACAUGUUUUUUGUACAUGUAAAGUCAUUGGGAUUGCCUAGGUUAUGAUCUAUGUGGAUCAUAUGUCAUGGAUCAUUAUUGAUUGGAUAUAUGAUGCUUUAUAUAUGAUAAGAUGAUAUGAGUAUUUGUUAUUCAUAUAAUUGAAUAUGUAAUUGGUACUUACAUAUAUAUGUAUGUCAACAGGCAGAUGUUGACUCUCUCACACAAGCAACCACCCCAAUCAAUAUGUUUAUGAGUUGGGAUGAGACACGAUAUACUAAUGAUGAUAAGUGAGUUUAAAGUAUACAAGAGAUGAUGAGUGUUGCCUUGAUUAAGUAUCAAGAUGAGGUCUAUAAUAAAUGACAUCUUGAUUGAAUGUAAUCGUCCACAAUUACAUUCGCUUGUUUGAACCGGACUUGAGUUUUAGCAUAAAAGGUUUAAGGAGAACCAUAAAUGCAAAACUCAAACAAGCUACUAGUGUGAAGCUCUUAGUUGACAUCUGUAUGGUGGUAGUUUAACAUACACUCUCUAAGUGGAGAGAAACCAUCAUAACAUAUAUUUCAUACUACAUGUAUUUAAAUAUGACUGAUAAGAAAAGUGAGUGAUUAAUCCCUGUAUCCUCACUAUGUGAGAUCCUUAAGGCUUAUUACAAUUAUAAUAACCCAUUUUUAUACUCUUUGUACUUUUGACUAUGUUUUAAGGUGACAAAUUAAUGUUCUUAAUUUGGUAUGUUUUUGACAAAAAUGAAAAAUUUUGUCCUUAUGAGACAUAUUAGGCAAACGGUUAACUUGGAUCUAAAAGACAUGAGCUCAUAAGGAAGACUUUUUUAAGUUACAUUGAUAAAGAAGUGUUCAUGGUCGAUCGGUUAUAUUGCUUUUGUAGUUGAUAUUAUUGUGAAUACAUUUAUAAUGUUAGAUACUAUAGAACAUUGAGGGAUUAAAUGUAUACAUUAAAAAUGUAACUAAAUAAGUCUAGGGUACAACGAGACAUGAUUAUUAUUGUUCACUUAUAAUUUUUGGGGUUAAGCUACUAUGUAUCCCUAAUAGGUGCAUAAGUUUAUAGCUCCCAAAUUGCGGGUGUGCUCUCGCAUGGUCACACGACCCAUUUUCCUGUGUGAAUGACCUUCAAAGGUGGAAUCAAAUGAACUUGGAUGAGUGAUCGGGCUAGUUCAGCCCAUCUUGUGUAAGUGGGAUAUGUUGGGUUGGGUUUGAGUGCCUAAGUGGGCUGACCCGACCUGACUCGACCCAAUAAAUGUGAGAAAAUAAGGGGGC
Molecule: long non-coding RNA, 6248 nt
Filed under: Vitis vinifera (wine grape)
Lineage: Eukaryota; Viridiplantae; Streptophyta; Magnoliopsida; Vitales; Vitaceae
Description: long non-coding RNA (VVIN_LNC006619)
Source: RNAcentral